This 253-nucleotide ribosomal RNA is filed under the name uncultured Eubacteriales bacterium. RNAcentral describes it as "uncultured Clostridiales bacterium partial 16S ribosomal RNA". It matches the Rfam family "Bacterial small subunit ribosomal RNA", at positions 524 to 776 of the family's 1533-position model. The record is from RNAcentral. Lineage: Bacteria; Bacillati; Bacillota; Clostridia; Eubacteriales.
UACGGAGGAUGCGAGCGUUAUCCGGAUUUAUUGGGUUUAAAGGGUGCGCAGGCGGCCUGUUAAGUCAGCGGUAAAAGCCCGGGGCCCAACCCCGGGACUGCUCUUGGAACUGCGUGGCUGGAGUGCAGGAGGGGCAGGCGGAAUUCCUGGUGUAGCGGUGAAAUGCGUAGAUAUCAGGAGGAACACCGGUGGCGAAGGCGGCCUGCUGGACUGCAACUGACGUUGAGGCCCGAAAGCGUGGGUAUCGAACAGG